Molecule: long non-coding RNA, 1308 nt
Filed under: Felis catus (domestic cat)
Lineage: Eukaryota; Metazoa; Chordata; Mammalia; Carnivora; Felidae
Description: lncRNA (ENSFCAG00000049611.1)
Source: RNAcentral
AAGUGCGAAGGAAGUUCCCUCCCAGUGCCCACCCAGGCGGGGAGGGGCAAGGCUGGGGCACGGAAAGAACCGGGGAAACGACGUAUUCCAGCUCCCAGCACACACAAAACUGCUUGCGCGAUUCGGCGCGUGGGGAGAAGCGGGGGGGAGGAAUUAGACGCCAGAUCCAGGACGCAGAGACUCCCGGUGCGCUGGGGAGAGACCUGGAGAUUGCAUGCUCGGGAAGCCACCUUCCUUUCCCCUGGUCUGUCUCCCCUUGUGCAGUGGCUGCCUGGGGACGCCCCGCUCGGAGGGUUUCUCCCAGACGAGACGUCCCGUCCCUGCCCACGGUCGGGGCCCGCGAGUGGCCGCCUCUGCCCCGCCCCUGCGGUUUCCGAAGGUCUAAGGGGGAUUUUUUUUCCCCCCUUCCCGCCCCCGUCCCUGCCUCCGCCAGGAGCGGCGCUAGGUCGUGCCGGCUGCGGUCGCUUUUCCUUCUCCACUCCCACGUCUCUGACUCCAGGGAGUUUCACCCGUCCUCCCUCCUCAGCCCUCACCUUUAAACAGUUCCCCAAGCCACCGCUCCAAAAGUGCGCGACUGCUCCCGGGCCUGCACACGGAGCUCCUGCCGCCCGGCAUUCCUCGGAUUCCAGCGCUGUGACGUCCCCGAGGCCGGCUCGCCUCCAGCCCGGGAGCUCGGGCUCCAAGUUUCGGCGCUCCCCCGCGCGGACGCCCCCCCCCCCCGCCGCCCCGCCGCCCCGCCGCCCCGCCGCGCGCGCCUCCCGGGCGCAUUCCUCCCCGCCCCCGGCCGCGCGCCCCGCGCUCCCUCCGCCUCCGGCCCCCUGCGCCGCCGCCCGGCCCGGGGGUGGGGGAGCCACGGCCGCCGGCGCCUGCUCCGUCCCCUCCCAUCGCACGGCCCCUUCCUCCCUCCUCUCCCGGCCGCUCGCAUUUCCUGCCGCCCGGGCUCUCGCGGCCCCGGAAAGUUCUGCCCAACUUUUUCUCCCCCCGCCCCGAGCGAGCGGGCGCAGCCGGCGCAGUCCGGGGGCAGGUUGCAGCGCUCCUCCUCGCUCCGCUGCCCGGCCUCCCGGCUCCGGUCCUCGGGGAGCCGCAGACACCCGGUGGUCGCGGUCUGUCCCUCCCCUCCCACCUCACCCAUCCUCCGCGGCCUCCUGGCCCCGGCCCCCCUCCGGCGGGACAACCCCGUGCCUAGGUGGCUCUCCUUUUCUCCUUGUCGGUGCGCCGGGAUCGCGGCGGAAACCUCCCUCCCCUUUCGCCUCCUCCGGCUCCUUCCCUCCGCCCCUCCUCCGCCAGCCACUGGAAUCAAUUCCUUAG